This 253-nucleotide ribosomal RNA is filed under the name uncultured bacterium. Its description in RNAcentral is "partial 16S ribosomal RNA". It matches the Rfam family "Bacterial small subunit ribosomal RNA", at positions 524 to 776 of the family's 1533-position model. The record is from RNAcentral.
UACGUAGGGUGCGAGCGUUGUCCGGAAUUACUGGGCGUAAAGAGCUCGUAGGUGGUUUGUCGCGUUGUUCGUGAAAACUCACAGCUUAACUGUGGGCGUGCGGGCGAUACGGGCAGACUGGAGUACUGCAGGGGAGACUGGAAUUCCUGGUGUAGCGGUGGAAUGCGCAGAUAUCAGGAGGAAUACCGGUGGCGAAGGCGGGUCUCUGGGCAGUAACUGACGCUGAGGAGCGAAAGCGUGGGGAGCGAACAGG